RNAcentral lists this long non-coding RNA (205 nucleotides) under Hordeum vulgare. Its description in RNAcentral is "long non-coding RNA (HVUL_LNC003745)". The record is from RNAcentral. Lineage: Eukaryota; Viridiplantae; Streptophyta; Magnoliopsida; Poales; Poaceae.
GCGUGUUUAGAAUAUUGAUAACAAUGUGUUCAGCAGUAUAGCAGGAGCAGGCCCUUGUUUUCACCUUAACAAAUCUCGGGGACGAUAUUUUCUUAAGGGGUAAGGUCUAUCACACCCUCUGUUUAGCUUUCGUGAGUAAUUAUCUUAUUUCAAAAAUUGGGACCAAUUUAAAUUUUUUGUGAAAGCUUGUGAUGCUUGAAGUGAC